CCCUUAGAUGUUCUGGGCAGCACGCGCGCUACAAUGCUCUUCGCAAACGGAUGCAUUCUCGAAGGAGAAUGCCAAUCUUGGAAUCUAUGCCUUGGUCGGGACAGUUGCUUGCAAUUUUUCGACUCGAACCAGGAAUUCCUUGUAAUCGUGAUUCAUCACAUCACGAUGAAUACGUCCCUGCCCUUUGUACACACCGCCCGUCGCUCCUACCGAUCGAAGAGUUAGGUGAAUUGUUUUGAUCGAUAAGAUUUGACUAUGGUCAACUCUCGUUGUGAAAUUCUGUGAAUCUGACUGUUUAGAGGAAGGAAAAGUCGUAACA
Molecule: ribosomal RNA, 319 nt
Filed under: uncultured eukaryote
Lineage: Eukaryota
Description: partial 18S ribosomal RNA
Rfam family: Eukaryotic small subunit ribosomal RNA
Source: RNAcentral